AUCGAUGAAGAACGCAGCGAAAUGCGAUAAGUAAUGUGAAUUGCAGAAUUCAGUGAAUCAUCGAAUCUUUGAACGCACAUUGCGCCCGCCAGUAUUCUGGCGGGCAUGCCUGUUCGAGCGUCAUUUCAACCCUCAAGCCCCCCGUAGGGCCUGGCGUUGGGGGACGGCACCCCUCACCGGGUGCCGCCCCCGAAAGACAGUGGCGGCCACGCCGUCUGCCUCCUCUGCGUAGUAGAAACACCUCGCACUGGGACGCGGCGCGGUCAUGCCGUAAAACUUCCAACUUCUGAAGGUUGACCUCGGAUCAGGUAGGAAUACCCGCUGAACUUAAGCAUAUCAAUAAGCGGAGGAAAAGAAACCAACAGGGAUUGCCCCAGUAACGGCGAGUGAAGCGGCAACAGCUCAAAUUUGAAAUCUGGCCCCCGGGUCCGAGUUGUAAUUUGCAGAGGAUGCUUUUGGCGAGGUGCCUUCCGAGUUCCCUGGAACGGGACGCCAUAGAGGGUGAGAGCCCCGUCCGGUUGGAUACCUAGCCUCUGUAAAGCUCCUUCGACGAGUCGAGUAGUUUGGGAAUGCUGCUCUAAAUGGGAGGUACAUGUCUUCUAAAGCUAAAUACCGGCCAGAGACCGAUAGCGCACAAGUAGAGUGAUCGAAAGAUGAAAAGCACUUUGAAAAGAGGGUUAAACAGUACGUGAAAUUGUUGAAAGGGAAGCGCUCGUGACCAGACUUGGGCCCGGUUAAUCAUCCAGCGUUCUCGCUGGUGCACUUUGCCGGCCCAGGCCAGCAUCAGUUCGUCGCGGGGGAUAAAGGCUUCGGGAACGUGGCUCCUCCGGGAGUGUUAUAGCCCGUUGCGUAAUACCCUGCGGUGGACUGAGGUUCGCGCAUCUGCAAGGAUGCUGGCGUAAUGGUCAUCAGCGACCCGUCUUGAAACACGG
RNAcentral lists this ribosomal RNA (932 nucleotides) under uncultured fungus. RNAcentral describes it as "eukaryotic LSU rRNA". The stretch from base 295 to 932 matches the Rfam family "Eukaryotic large subunit ribosomal RNA", at positions 1 to 664 of the family's 3401-position model. Lineage: Eukaryota; Fungi. The record is from RNAcentral.